This 497-nucleotide ribosomal RNA is filed under the name uncultured bacterium. Its description in RNAcentral is "partial 16S ribosomal RNA". It matches the Rfam family "Bacterial small subunit ribosomal RNA", at positions 28 to 507 of the family's 1533-position model. The record is from RNAcentral.
GAUGAACGCUGGCGGCGUGCCUAAUACAUGCAAGUCGAACGGAAAGACGAGGAGCUUGCUCCUCUGACGUUAGCCGCGGACGUGUGAGUCACACGUGGAUACCCUACCUAUAAGACUGAGAUAACUUCGGGACACCGGCGCUAAUAGCGGAUAAUAUCUUGAACCGCAUGGUUCAAUGGUGAGAGACGGUUUUGCUGUCACUUCUCGAUGGAUCCGGGCCGCAUUGGGUAGUAGGUAAGGUCACGGCUUACGACGGCGACGAGGCGUAUACGACCGCACUGGCUGAUCGCCCACCCGGGAGCGGGGACGCGGUCCAGGCGCCUAAGGGAGGCAGCAGUAUGGAACCUUCCGCAAUGGGCGAAAGCCUGACGGAGCAACGCCGAGUGAGUGACGAAGGUGUUCGGAUCGUAAAACUCUGUUAUUAGGGAAGAACAAAUGUGGAAGGUACUAUGCCCGUCUUGACGGUACCUAAUCAGAAAGCCCCGGCUAACUACGUG